Molecule: ribosomal RNA, 142 nt
Filed under: uncultured bacterium
Lineage: Bacteria
Description: partial 16S ribosomal RNA
Rfam family: Bacterial small subunit ribosomal RNA
Source: RNAcentral
UCCUACGGGAGGCAGCAGUGGGGAAUUUUGGACAAUGGGCGAAAGCCUGAUCCAGCCAUGCCGCGUGCAGGAUGAAGGCCUUCGGGUUGUAAACUGCUUUUGUACGGAACGAAAAGACUCUUUCUAAUAAAGAGGGUCCAUG